AAAUUGAAGAGUUUGAUCAUGGCUCAGAUUGAACGCUGGCGGCAGGCCUAACACAUGCAAGUCGAGCGGUAGCACAGAGAGCUUGCUCUCGGGUGACGAGCGGCGGACGGGUGAGUAAUGUCUGGGAAACUGCCUGAUGGAGGGGGAUAACUACUGGAAACGGUAGCUAAUACCGCAUAACGUCGCAAGACCAAAGUGGGGGACCUUCGGGCCUCA
Molecule: ribosomal RNA, 216 nt
Filed under: Escherichia coli
Lineage: Bacteria; Pseudomonadati; Pseudomonadota; Gammaproteobacteria; Enterobacterales; Enterobacteriaceae
Also listed under: 3 other names
Description: partial 16S ribosomal RNA
Rfam family: Bacterial small subunit ribosomal RNA
Source: RNAcentral